Molecule: long non-coding RNA, 338 nt
Filed under: Coffea arabica (coffee)
Lineage: Eukaryota; Viridiplantae; Streptophyta; Magnoliopsida; Gentianales; Rubiaceae
Description: long non-coding RNA (CARA_LNC000774)
Source: RNAcentral
ACUCAAGAAACAUAUCAUCCCUUGGCUCAUCUUUCGCUCUAGAGAAGGUAUUUGCUUGGGGCACGUUCAGGUAAGAUCCCAUUGAAUUCCCAAAGCCAUAAUUCCCAGCUGGAUCCUGCAACAUUUUUAGAGUAUAUGGAGCUUGUUGCCCUUCAGGUGGUGGUGCCCUAAAGCUUCGAACUGGAAUUGGAUAGUUCGAUUGAUGAGACAUUACUGAAGGCCUUACGGCCAUGGGUGCAUUGCUGCUAGGCACAGGCCUGUUGGCUGAAUUGCUACCACUACCACGAGCAGCAGGCACGUCGUGGUUGUGCUUGCCCUCGUAUGUUGUUAUCACCGCC